GGCUCAGGCCUUUUGGAUGUGGGGUGAUUCUUGGAGGGUAUGAUAGAGAUGGACCUCAACUAUACCUGGUUGAGCCUUCUGGUGUCUCCUAUAGGUACUUCGGUGCUGCUAUCGGAAAGGGAAGGCAAGCUGCUAAAACAGAAAUUGAGAAGUUAAAGUUAUCUGAAAUGACCUGUCGACAAGGGAUUAUUGAGGUAGCAAAAAUAAUUUACGGAGUACAUGAUGAGGCAAAAGACAAGGCAUUUGAACUUGAAAUGAGCUGGGUAUGUGAUGAGUCUAACCGCCAACAUCAGAAGGUUCCUGAUAAUCUUUUAGAGGAAGCAAAGGCUGCAGCUAAAGCUGCACUUGAGGAGAUGGAUGCCGAUUAAGGGUCCAGAUAUGUUGGUUAUUUCGUUCUUAUUUAACGAUCUAUCUCUACCAUGUUUACAGGAUUUUGCCACCACUACGAUGAUCAAUGUUGAUGAUGAAAGCGAUUUAUAGUUUCUUGUAAUUCUGAACUGUAAGCUUACAACUCCCAAGUUUGAAAAUCCAG
This 532-nucleotide unclassified non-coding RNA is filed under the name Hevea brasiliensis (rubber tree). The record is from RNAcentral. Lineage: Eukaryota; Viridiplantae; Streptophyta; Magnoliopsida; Malpighiales; Euphorbiaceae.